This 99-nucleotide small RNA is filed under the name Salmonella enterica subsp. enterica serovar Virchow. RNAcentral's name for it is "partial RtT sRNA". It matches the Rfam family "RtT RNA", at positions 28 to 130 of the family's 130-position model. Rfam says of the family: This family represents a bacterial cis-regulatory element known as RtT RNA. Lineage: Bacteria; Pseudomonadati; Pseudomonadota; Gammaproteobacteria; Enterobacterales; Enterobacteriaceae. The record is from RNAcentral.
ACCUGCCGCAGGUUCGGGUCUCACGUAGUGAGACAACGGAGCCGCUUGCGGCGACGGCCCGAAGGGCGAGCGAAGCGAGUCAUCCUGCACGACCCACCA